This 330-nucleotide ribosomal RNA is filed under the name uncultured eukaryote. RNAcentral describes it as "partial 18S ribosomal RNA". It matches the Rfam family "Eukaryotic small subunit ribosomal RNA", at positions 1470 to 1796 of the family's 1831-position model. The record is from RNAcentral.
CCCUUAGAUGUUCGGGGCCGCACGCGCGCUACACUGAAGGAAUCAGCACGUCUUUCUCCUUGUCCGAAAGGACUGGGUAACCCGCUGAACCUCCUUCGUGCUAGGGAUUGGGGCUUGUAAUUCUUCCCCAUGAACGAGGAAUUCCCAGUAAGCGCGAGUCAUAAGCUCGCGUUGAUUACGUCCCUGCCCUUUGUACACACCGCCCGUCGCUACUACCGAUUGGAUGGUUUAGUGAGAUCCUCGGAUUGGUCCCGGAGCGGCCUCUGGUCGUGCCGGAGUGCCGAAAAGAAUGUCGAACUUGAUCAUCUAGAGGAAGGUGAAGUCGUAACA